UACGUAGGGGGCAAGCGUUAUCCGGAAUUACUGGGUGUAAAGGGAGCGUAGACGGUAAUGUAAGUCUGGAGUGAAAGGCGGGGGCCCAACCCCCGGACUGCUCUGGAAACUAUGUUACUAGAGUGCAGGAGAGGUAAGCGGAAUUCCUAGUGUAGCGGUGAAAUGCGUAGAUAUUAGGAGGAACACCAGUGGCGAAGGCGGCUUGCUGGACUGUAACUGACGUUGAGGCUCGAAAGCGUGGGGAGCAAACAGG
RNAcentral lists this ribosomal RNA (253 nucleotides) under uncultured bacterium. RNAcentral describes it as "partial 16S ribosomal RNA". It matches the Rfam family "Bacterial small subunit ribosomal RNA", at positions 524 to 776 of the family's 1533-position model. The record is from RNAcentral.